UACGGGGGGGGUAAGCGUUGUUCGGAAUUACUGGGCGUAAAGGGCGCGUAGGCGGUCGUGACAAGUCACUUGUGAAAUCUCCGGGCUUAGCUCGGAACGGUCAAGUGAUACUGUCGGACUAGAGUACAGAAGGGGCAACUGGAAUUCUCGGUGUAGCGGUGAAAUGCGUAGAUAUCUGGAGGAACACCGGUGGCGAAGGCGGCAUCCUGGACCGGUAUUGACGCUGAGGAGCGAAAGCCAGGGGAGCAAACGGG
Molecule: ribosomal RNA, 254 nt
Filed under: uncultured bacterium
Lineage: Bacteria
Description: partial 16S ribosomal RNA
Rfam family: Bacterial small subunit ribosomal RNA
Source: RNAcentral